AACGAACGCUGGCGGCAGGCCUAACACAUGCAAGUCGAGCGCGCCCUUCGGGGUGAGCGGCGGACGGGCGAGUAACGCGUGGGAACGUGCCCUUUUCUACGGAAUAGCCUCGGGAAACUGAGAGUAAUACCGUAUACGCCCUUUGGGGGAAAGAUUUAUCGGAAAAGGAUCGGCCCGCGUUGGAUUAGGUAGUUGGUGGGGUAAUGGCCUACCAAGCCGACGAUCCAUAGCUGGUUUGAGAGGAUGAUCAGCCACACUGGGACUGAGACACGGCCCAGACUCCUACGGGAGGCAGCAGUGGGGAAUCUUAGACAAUGGGGGCAACCCUGAUCUAGCCAUGCCGCGUGAGUGAUGAAGGCCUUAGGGUUGUAAAGCUCUUUCAGCUGGGAAGAUAAUGACGGUACCAGCAGAAGAAGCCCCGGCUAACUCCGUG
RNAcentral lists this ribosomal RNA (433 nucleotides) under uncultured bacterium. Its description in RNAcentral is "partial 16S ribosomal RNA". It matches the Rfam family "Bacterial small subunit ribosomal RNA", at positions 29 to 507 of the family's 1533-position model. The record is from RNAcentral.